AUUGAACGCUGGCGGAAUGCUUUACACAUGCAAGUCGAACGGCAGCACGGGGGCAGUCCUGGUGGCGAGUGGCGAACGGGUGAGUAAUACAUCGGAACGUGCCCGGUCGUGGGGGAUAACGUAUCGAAAGUUACGCUAAUACCGCAUACGAUCUGAGGAUGAAAGCGGGUGACCUUCGGGCCUCUCGCGAUCUUAGCUGCCUAUGUCAUAUUAGGUAGUUGGUGGGGUAAAGGCCUACCAAGCCGAAGAUCUGUAGCUGGUCUGAGAGGACGACCAGCCACACUGGGAAUGAGACACGGGCCAGAAUCCUACGGGAGGCAGCAGUGGGGAAGUUUGGACAAUGGGCGCAAGCCUGAUCCAGCCAUUCAGCGUGCAGGACGAAGGCCUGCGGGUUGUAAACUGCUUUUGUACGGAAAGAAAAGGCUCUGGAUAAUACCUGGGGCUCAUGACGGGACCGUAAGAAUAAGCACCGGCGAACUACGU
Molecule: ribosomal RNA, 483 nt
Filed under: uncultured bacterium
Lineage: Bacteria
Description: partial 16S ribosomal RNA
Rfam family: Bacterial small subunit ribosomal RNA
Source: RNAcentral